RNAcentral lists this long non-coding RNA (1532 nucleotides) under Equus caballus (horse). RNAcentral describes it as "lncRNA (ENSECAG00000055705.1)". Lineage: Eukaryota; Metazoa; Chordata; Mammalia; Perissodactyla; Equidae. The record is from RNAcentral.
ACGGCGUGGGCACCGGUGGUCCUCGGCUGCUUCUUGUCCUACAGUGACUGCGAAUUCACUUACAUACAACUAUGCUCUCCACACAUGCUGAAACUGGGGAUCUAAACAUAAAACACGGUCCCUGCUCCCCUGGGGGAGCACACAGUCAGACUGGGAAACGCAGAGAUAAUCAUCAGAGGAUGGGUACGCACCACAGCAGAGAUAGUAAGAGGGGCUGCAAAGCAGCCAGAAGAUGUGUGCGGCCCAGCAUGAGGUCACCGGACUUGACCUCAUUUCCUUUUUAAUGAGAAGGUGAGGCUGAAGCCGUAGGCCAAGCAGGAGCCUGCUGCCACAACCCAGGUGAGAGGCGGGGGUGCUGGACCAGAUGGGGGCAGAGGUGGGCGUGGUAAGAAGUGCUCAGAGCCUGGCUCAAUUCUGAAGUCACAGUCACCAUCAGGUUAGCUAACCUGAGUACAGAACCCUUGAGAGACGGGGACUCUCUCACCGUGAAACCAGGUUCUUCCGGAGCGUGAGACCGAACCCCAAGGCAACGACCAUCCGCUCUGACAUCACAGGAGCCGGCCAGCUGCCUCCCUCCUGACUCACGACUUCAUCUUCCCCGAGGUCAAGGAGAAGCAAGUGGCACCCUCACCAGCCUCCACCACGGCCCUUACACCUGCCGUCUGGUUUGGGUGGGAACGGGGAGCAGCCUCGGGCUUCAAAUCCCUGUCGUUGGCGGUGGGAACCUCUCAGAGCCUCAGUUUCCUCGUCUACAGGAUAUUCCGACCAAUAAGCAGCCUAUAAAGUUGAUAGUGUGUGGGACUAGGGAGGCAGAACCUAAGAGGUUGUCAGUGCCUGCAAGUCAGGAAACUAAAGAAAAUGUGUGAUGUGGCGAAUGCGGUAUGGAAUCCAAGAGAGGCUGAUACACGUGGACAUUACCAAAAGAAACCUCAACAAAACUGGAGUCAGGAAGGCCUGCAGGGGAAGCUCUCCCACUGCAUCAUACAUCCUCAAUUGCUCCAAACAGGAAGAGGCAGGACCUAGCACCUCCCACAGGAAGUGCAACUACAGGAACUGUACUACUGAAGGAGGAAUUCUCUCCCCACCCAGCAACAGCCCAGCCAAUGAGAAGCCGUUGCUGCCCUGAUCUCUUACUCUCCCCCAAUGGACUUUCCUUUAGAACAGCCCCUACCGCUCCUCCUUUUCUCUAUAAAAACAAGCCCCUUCCUUUUGUCUCUCUGGAUUUUCUUAUGGUUUGCCAUAGGAUGCACAUCCCAAAUUGCCAUUCUUUUGGCUCUUCCCAAAUAAACUCCUUUUGCAAGUAAAACAACUGACCAAUUUACUUUUUAAGUUGACAACAACAGUCCCAAGCAGAAGUCAAGGCCCAUCUGAAGCGACAUGGCGUAAGUUUGUAGCAGGAACAUCAGUAUGGUUUGUGACCAUCUCCGGAAAUGUUGAACCCUUGAUGCAGACGUGAAAAGGGGUGAUUGGGGGGGAUCUAGGGAUAAGGCUGUGGGAGAUGAAAGGAGUAGAGGCUCUAAAACAGAGGCGAG